UUAACAAUUUAGUGCUUUUAUCACAGUGUUGAAACUGUUAGCGGAUUGUCUUGAAGUGAUUGUAGCAUAGCAGGAGACCAACAUCAUGUCCAAAUGUGUCAGAGAAUGUCUGCAUGUGAUCUUGUUGUCAUGCAGUAAUGACCUAAUGGGCUUUUAAUGCUGAAACUGUUGCAGAAGUUUCCCCACAUGGUGCACAGAGACAGGAAGGAAGUGUCCAGUGUCCCACAUAAUAAUGAUAAUUCGUCAAAGAAUACAAACAAUAGCUUAUAUUAACAAUAUAAGUCCUUCCUUUGCGCGCAUUUCCAAUUAAUUUCAAUAUAAAUGCAUGACAGUCUUUAUGCACUCAAGUCACAUUUCCGGAUGAGGCCUUGGUCAGCAGGCUGUCGUUAAAACUGGCCGUUCCGCGUGCGCGCAUACCAGCCCAGACACGCGCAGAUCCCCACGAGCGUCACUGUCGCGCCCAGCAGCAAAGCCGCCGCGUCUCCUCCGUCAAACGCCUCGGCGGCCUGGACGAGCGUCAGGAGGAAAAGGCAGAGCAUCAUGCGAGAGUUUUGGUCUUUGGGAGCCAUGUUGUUGGUCGCCUGUGAGGAGGGAAGCGCAAGAGCAAUGACGACGCGUCAGAGCUCAGAUGCUGGCCGAGACGAUGGGCGACGGGUCUCAUGACUCAUGGCUGGACCAGUGAAAGAGAGACACUGUGAAAUGACUUCAAGGUGAAGGAAGCUCACUGCCCUAGUUCCAAUCUGGUGUGCUGUCAAAU
Molecule: long non-coding RNA, 757 nt
Organism: Cyprinus carpio (common carp)
Lineage: Eukaryota; Metazoa; Chordata; Actinopteri; Cypriniformes; Cyprinidae
Source: Ensembl